RNAcentral lists this ribosomal RNA (492 nucleotides) under uncultured bacterium. Its description in RNAcentral is "partial 16S ribosomal RNA". It matches the Rfam family "Bacterial small subunit ribosomal RNA", at positions 29 to 507 of the family's 1533-position model. The record is from RNAcentral.
AGUGAACGCUGGCGGUAGGCCUAACACAUGCAAGUCGAACGGCAGCACAGUAAGAGCUUGCUCUUACGGGUGGCGAGUGGCGGACGGGUGAGGAAUACAUCGGAAUCUACUUUUUCGUGGGGGAUAACGUAGGGAAACUUACGCUAAUACCGCAUACGACCUACGGGUGAAAGCAGGGGAUCUUCGGACCUUGCGCGAUUGAAUGAGCCGAUGGCGGAUUAGCUAGUUGGCGGGGUAAGGGCCCACCAAGGCGACGAUCCGUAGCUGGUCUGAGAGGAUGAUCGGCCACACUGGAACUGAGACACGGUCCAGAGUCCUACGGGAGGCAGCAGUGGGGAAUAUUGGACAAUGGGCGCAAGCCUGAUCCAGCCAUACCGCGUGGGUGAAGAAGGCCUUCGGGUUGUAAAGCCCUUUUGUUGGGAAAGAAAAGCAGCAGGUUAAUACCCCGCUGUUCUGACGGUACCCAAAGAAUAAGCACCGGCUAACUUCGUG